UUCAAGGAACUUACUAUCUCAUUUGCAAACAUAUAUAUCAACAAUUGUAAUAAUUUUAUAUGACCAAAAAUCUCUUUUUCAUUUAUAUAAUUGUAAGGAUUACACUAAGUACAAUUUCAGAAACCAAAUGAAAAAUACAAGAGAAAAGGAGACUAGUCAUCCUAAGGAUCCCUAACAACGUUAGAAUAUCUGGCUGAAGGCGCG
RNAcentral lists this long non-coding RNA (204 nucleotides) under Lathyrus oleraceus (garden pea). RNAcentral's name for it is "Pisum sativum (pea) long non-coding RNA (PSAT_LNC014131)". The record is from RNAcentral. Lineage: Eukaryota; Viridiplantae; Streptophyta; Magnoliopsida; Fabales; Fabaceae.